UGAGGAAUAUUGGUCAAUGGGCUUACGCCUGAACCAGCCAAGUCGUGUGAGGGGAAGACUGCCCUAUGGGUUGUAAACCUCUUUGUCAGGGAGCAACGCCGGCUACGUGUAGCCGGACUGAGAGUACCUGAAGAAAAAGCAUCGGCUAACUCCGUGCC
This 158-nucleotide ribosomal RNA is filed under the name uncultured bacterium. RNAcentral describes it as "partial 16S ribosomal RNA". It matches the Rfam family "Bacterial small subunit ribosomal RNA", at positions 355 to 509 of the family's 1533-position model. The record is from RNAcentral.